UGGGGAAUAUUGCACAAUGGGCGCAAGCCUGAUGCAGCCAUGCCGCGUGUAUGAAGAAGGCCUUCGGGUUGUAAAGUACUUUCAGCGGGGAGGAAGGCGAUGCGGUUAAUAACCGCGUCGAUUGACGUUACCCGCAGAAGAAGCACCGGCUAACUCCGUGCCAGCAGCCGCGGUAAUACGGAGGGUGCAAGAGUUAAUCGGAAUUACUGGGCGUAAAGCGCACGCAGGCGGUCUGUCAAGUCGGAUGUGAAAUCCCCGGGCUCAACCUGGGAACUGCAUCCGAAACUGGCAGGCUUGAGUCUCGUAGAGGGGGGUAGAAUUCCAGGUGUAGCGGUGAAAUGCGUAGAGAUCUGGAGGAAUACCGGUGGCGAAGGCGGCCUCCUGGACGAAGACUGACGCUCAGGUGCGAAAGCGUGGGGAGCAAACA
Molecule: ribosomal RNA, 427 nt
Filed under: uncultured bacterium
Lineage: Bacteria
Description: partial 16S ribosomal RNA
Rfam family: Bacterial small subunit ribosomal RNA
Source: RNAcentral